Molecule: ribosomal RNA, 448 nt
Filed under: uncultured bacterium
Lineage: Bacteria
Description: partial 16S rRNA
Source: RNAcentral
GCACGUAGUUAGCCGCAGCUUCUUCUGCAGGUACCGUCAUCAUCGUCCCUGCCGAAAGAGCUUUACACCCCGAAGGGCCUCAUCGCUCACGCGGCGUCGCUGCAUCAGGGUUUCCCCCAUUGUGCAAGAUUCCCCACUGCUGCCUCCCGUAGGAGUCUGGCCCGUGUUUCAGUGCCAGUGUGGCCGUGUGCCCUCUCAGGCCGGCUACCGAUCUCAGCCUUGGUGAGCUCUUACCCCACCAACUAGCUAAUCAGCCGCGGGCUCCCCUCUCGGCGACUUUCGCCUUUCCCUUUACAGGCUUAUGCGGUAUUAGCUCCGGUUUCCCAGAGUUAUUCCCCACCCAGAGGUAGAUUACCCACGUGUUACUCACCAGUACGCCACUUUACUCAUGGAUUGCUCCACUUUCUCGUUCGACUUGCAUGUGUUAAGCGCGCCGCCAGCGUUGAUU